CCUACGGGUGUCAGCAGUGAGGAAUAUUGGUCAAUGGCCGCAGGGCUGAACCAGCCAAGUCGCGUGAGGGAUGACGGUCCUAUGGAUUGUAAACCUCUUUUGUCAGGGCGCAAAGGGCGCCACGUGUGGCGUUUUGCGAGUACCUGAAGAAAAAGCAUCGGCUAACUCCGUGCCAGUAGCCGCGGUAAUACGGAGGAUGUGAGCGUAAUCCGGAUUAAUUGGGUGUAAGGGGUUCGCAGGCGGAAUGUCAAGUCAGCGGUAAAAUUUCGGGGCUCAACCCCGCCGUGCCGUUGAAACUGGCGUUCUUGAGUGAGCGAGAAGUAUGCGGAAUGCGUGGUGUAGCGGUGAAAGGCAUAGAUAUCACGCAGAACUCAGAUUGCGAAGGCAGCAUACCGGCGCUCAACUGACGCUCAUGCACGAAAGCGUGGGUAUCGAACAGGAUUAGAUACCCUAGUAGUC
RNAcentral lists this ribosomal RNA (459 nucleotides) under uncultured bacterium. RNAcentral's name for it is "partial 16S ribosomal RNA". It matches the Rfam family "Bacterial small subunit ribosomal RNA", at positions 338 to 795 of the family's 1533-position model. The record is from RNAcentral.